This 3463-nucleotide long non-coding RNA is filed under the name Sus scrofa (pig). RNAcentral's name for it is "lncRNA (ENSSSCG00000058736.1)". The record is from RNAcentral. Lineage: Eukaryota; Metazoa; Chordata; Mammalia; Artiodactyla; Suidae.
UUUUUUUUUUCCUUCCCUACAAAAGGAUUUUACUUUACCUGUGGCAUUCAUUACCCUUUUAUGUCUUUUUUUUUUCUCUUGUUUUACCCAUCUGUGGAGAUAAUAGAUACUACGUGAAAGCAAAAUAGAAAAAAAAAAAAUUUCCUUACAGAGCAAUAGAGUUGGCUUUUCUAUGAGUUUUUAGAAUGUGCUAAACAUUCUAUUCUCACAUUACUACCUAAGCAAAGAACUAGAUUGGUCCACUUUUAGAGAUGAGAAAACUAAGGCUAAAAGUGAUGACGAAAAUCUUGUUGCUCAUCUCCUGAGGCAUGGAACUGGUUUCAAAGUCUUUGUGACUCCAGGGUUUGAGUUGACCACUGUGCCCACCCCUCCCACAGCUUCAGGGUUAUGGAUCAGAUGCUCCUAAGAACGUGUCACGGGCUGGAAUACCUUCUUUUUCUGUGUGCACUUUCCAUGGUUCUUUCCGUAUUGUGUGCGAUUGACAUUUCAGAUGAAUGAAUGAUUACACCUACUUUUCACGCUUAGCAGCAGCUCUUUAGAAAAGCUUGGUUAUGACUCUCAAUGCCUUUAGAAAACUGCCUUUUCAGAUUUUUAUCAGGCAUGUCUUAAUAUCUCUUAGAUUGGAAAUCUCUUGCGUAGACAACUUGUUUAAACACAAGUUUUACAAAUAAACAUGUAAGCUUCAAACAAUAACAGCAAAUGACUGAGAGCAAUACUUGAUACGUUGCAUCUCUUUACUUAGGAAAUGAUAAUAGAUUUUUACUUCACAUGUUUAAAUUUGAAUUAUAAUUUAAAUGAUCUUAAAAAUAUUAAAAACCCCUUCAUCACAAACUAGGUGUUUAUGCAUAGUCAUCAGGGGUUAAUCGAGCAGAGACAGCACACACUUGAGACUCUAAAUUGAAUAAUUCGAUUUGUAAACAGGUACUUAGUGUACAAGAAGCCAUUACACAUGCAAUUAUCUGUCUUCAAUUAAUUGUGUGCAUCUCUAAGGAGCAACUUAAGAAUGUUUGUUUCAUUUCCACUGGUUGUAAGGCCUGAUAUCUACAAACAUUUAUUUUACUUAUGCUAUAGUUUUGAACAUUGGUAAAGUACAUUUCUAACAGCAAAUAUUAUGUGCCUGUGAGGAAACAGUGGGCCUGGAAUAACCAAACCCGAGUUGGUCUUCUUCCUGCAACUAGUCCCCACCCUCCCCACAUAAGAAUGCCAGAAAAAAAAAAAUCAAAUUCAGGAUUCUCACUAGAAUAGCAAACCAUGCAUCAAGAAAUCUGUAUUAGUAAAUAUGGAAUUGCCCUUAGUUUUGAAAUCUCUUUAUACUGAAUGCAUAUUCCUUUCACCUGUAGGAAGAGCAGAAGCCUAGUCAUGGUUGCUUGAUCCUAUGCUAUUGCACUUAAAAUAAACUGGAUAUCAAUUGUGUCAAAGCCAGAACAAAAGGAAGACAUAUAGGCCUUUGAAGAAAGUUUCAAAACAUCAUUUUAGGGCUGCCUUUAGAGAAAGGUCUCUUCUUCCUCAUCUCUUUCAUCAUGAGAAGAUUGUCCUUGUUUAACCAUUAAGAAACCCAUUGCUUUCUAUGUUGCUGUUUGCUCAGACAUUUAGUUCUACUAACAUGUGAGUAAUUAAUCCUCCUCUUCCUCCCUCUUCUCAUCUUUGCCCACUUCUACCUCCUCCUCAUCCUUUCCUUCCUCUCCCUCACAACCACACUGGAAAUACAACUUCAGAUCAGGUAGAAGGGAAAACUCUAUGUACUAUACAGCUCUCCUAAACAAGGCCAAGGUCUUAAUUAUCUUUCUACCCUAGCUUUUAAUGAGUGAUUGGCAUAUUCAUAAUAAUAAUAAAUCCUUGCCGAAUGAAUGAUUAUUUUCCCCUAAACAUCAAAAUGGUGAUGUUAUUCUGGGAAUCCUUUCUGAAAUGGCCAGUCUGAGUUUGCUGCCCUUCAAUGUGCUCUUUUAUUUUCUGAUAUUUUCAUCCUAGUGUAUAUAAGAGGUAUGAUAAAGACAUGCAUGAAGGGCUAUGGAACCCUCAAAUCAGUAUCAGAUUGAAUUUUUAUACCUGUAAUUAUUUUUACUAGUAGGUUAAAAAGACCAUUCAUGCAAAUCCAGUCCAUGAGAUCCUGCUGUGUAGCACUGAAUACAAUGUCUAGAUACUUACAAUGCAGCACAACAAUGGGAGGAAAAUUUAUGUAUACAUGUAUGUGUAACUGAGUCCCCAUACUGUACAGUGGGGAAAAAAAGUGCUUUUGGGGAAAUAACAAUUAAAAAAAAAGGCCAUUCAUGCAACAAAUACUUUUUGAAACACCUAUGUUGCCAGCAUUGUUCUAGGUGCUGAAGUAUCAAGAUUGCAUAAAGCAGACAAAUAUUCCAGCUUUCAAGAAGCUUGUAUUUUAGUCAAGCAUACAAAAAAUAAACCAACUAAAUACAUAAAAUGUAAUAUUCUACAAGACGAUAGAUUUGAUAUGUGCUGAGAAGUAGGAAAAACAGUAAGGAAGUGUCACGGAGGCAUUGAAAUAUUAUGUAUGAUAACUAGUAUGUUCUUCCUUAGGAUGAGUUUUGAGUAAAAAUCUGAAGGGAGAACUGGAGAUAGCCAUACAGAUGUUGCAGGAAAUAGCAUUUUAGGUAAAGGGACAACAUGAAGGCCCCUAAGGUGGGAAUUCCCAAGCUUGCCUAAAUUAACAGCAAGAUCAGUGUGGCUAGAUGAGGGUUGAGGUGGGGAGUAGAUAUAUAGAAUCUGAUUUCCAGAGAGGAAAGGACUGGAGCCAGUGUAGACUAUGUUGGCCAUAGAAUUUUCAUCUAAGUCAGAAGGGAAACUAGUAGAGGUUUUUGAGCAGAAUGUCAAUUGGGAAAAUUUUAGCUGUCACGUUGAGAAUUAACUGUAAAAGAGAAAAGGUAAGGAGUAGGGCUGAUAGUUAGGAGGCUAUUGCUUUUCCAGGCAGAAAAUGAUGAUGCCUUGGACCAAAUUGGGAUCAGUAGGAGUAGAAUCACUGUUAGGGACUGAAACGAAUCCCUCUAAAAUUGCUAUGUUGAAGCCCCAUCCCCCAGUAUCUCUGAGUGUGACUGUUUGAAGAUGGGACCUUUAAAGGGGCAGUUAAGUUAAAGUGAGGUAGUCAGGGUGGACGCUAAUCCAACGUGACUGAUGUCGUUAUAAAAAAGAGAUUAAGACACACAAAAAACACCAGAGAUGUGUGCUCACAAAGAAGAGGACCUGUUGGAGGCAGAGUAAAAAAGCAAGGCAGAGAGAGAGAGGAUUCAGAAAAAACCAAUCCUGCCUGCACCUUAAUCUUGGACAUCUAGUGUCCAAAACUGUGAGAAAAUAAACAUCUGCUGUUUAAGCUACUCAGUCUAUGAUAUUUUGUUAUGGCAAUCCGAACAUUGACUAAUAGAGUCACUAAAGGUGGAGAUGAUUGGUCAAAUUAUAGAUAGAUUUUAAAUGUAUGUUACAUGAUUUUACAAUAAAGCCAAUCUGAGGUGUG